Long non-coding RNA from Neltuma alba, 338 nucleotides. RefSeq lists it as uncharacterized. The record is from RefSeq and is a predicted model, not a curated record. The transcript has 3 exons. Lineage: Eukaryota; Viridiplantae; Streptophyta; Magnoliopsida; Fabales; Fabaceae.
GAGAAGAGAAACUAUGGAAAAAAUUUUCCAAGAGGGAGAAAGAAGAGAGAACCAAGAGGAAAAGCUAGGACAAAGUUCAAGCUUUAUACAACCUCAAAGAAGGGCCACGGUUUGGAAGAGGAAAAAGAGCCAAGUAAAGGGCCUUCACUAGCCAAGAGCAAGGGCAAAGAGGUGGCCAAGAAGAAAAGGUAAAGUAUCUUGAAGAAGUUGGAAAUUCAAGAAGACAUAGAAAAACCCUAUUUGCAAAGUUAUGUAAUUAAAGUAUGUUUUAGGGUUUAUGUCUUCAUGCAUGGUAGAAAAGCAUGCUAGAUGUUAUUAUGAAGUUAUUUGCAUGCUUA